UGGCAUGCCAUCCAAUUUCGAACUUCUGCUUGGGGACAAAGACUUCAUCUCGCUCAAGGGAACCUGUGUUGGAAUGGUGGCGGCGAUGGCUAUACUUCCAUGAGAAGUACGGGACAAGGAGGCAAGAGUGGAGGAUCAAACCAACAGUGUCAUCCAGCCAUUGAUAAUCACUGAAAGCAUGGUGACCGCACUCAUGUGCUAUGACCCAAACACCGGUGAGAACACAGCCCUGAACGUACCAGAAAAUCGGCCAUGCCAAGAAGGAUAGAGGUUGAGACAGAUUCUGAAUGUAGGUGGAAGCAAUGUAGUAAAGGAUAGAGGCAAUGGUGAGGUCAUAAAAGACAUAGGAGAAGGAGCGGAUAACAGAGCGCUGAAAACAAUGAGGUGGGAUGGCUUUCUUGACCUCACCGAGGCUGAACGGAGGCUUAGAGUACGGAACUCUCUUGUGGGUGUCAGCAUCCGCAUUUUUGCGCACAGGGGGCGCAACCAUUCUUCCACCGGCACCCAUUGUUCCCAA
This 517-nucleotide long non-coding RNA is filed under the name Malus domestica (apple). RNAcentral's name for it is "long non-coding RNA (MDOM_LNC011141)". Lineage: Eukaryota; Viridiplantae; Streptophyta; Magnoliopsida; Rosales; Rosaceae. The record is from RNAcentral.